This 345-nucleotide RNase P RNA is filed under the name Rhodocyclaceae bacterium. RNAcentral describes it as "RNase P RNA component class A". It matches the Rfam family "Bacterial RNase P class A". From Rfam's summary of the family: Ribonuclease P (RNase P) is a ubiquitous endoribonuclease, found in archaea, bacteria and eukarya as well as chloroplasts and mitochondria. Its best characterised activity is the generation of mature 5'-ends of tRNAs by cleaving the 5'-leader elements of precursor-tRNAs. The record is from RNAcentral. Lineage: Bacteria; Pseudomonadati; Pseudomonadota; Betaproteobacteria; Rhodocyclales; Rhodocyclaceae.
GAAGUCCGCCAGGCAGCCGCGGCACCUUCGGGUGUCGAGGAAAGUCCGGGCCCCAUAGAGCAGGAUGCCGGCUAACGGCCGGGCGCCGCGAGGCGACAGACAGUGCAACAGAAACAUACCGCUAACGCUCGAAAGGGCGCAGUAAGGGUGAAAUCGUGCGGUAAGAGCGCACGGUCGCACUGGUAACAGUUGCGACGGGUAAACCUCAUCCGGGGCAAGGCCAAAUAGGGGAGCAAUGACGUGGCUCGCGUCGCUCCCGGGUAGGCUGCAAGAGGCCGUCGGCAACGACGGUCCCAGAGGAAUGGCUGCCCACGACAGAACCCGGCUUAUCGGCGGACUUCCACC